GGUAUAAGGAAUAGCCUUUGGAAACGAAGAGUAAUACCUUAUACGCCCUUCGGGGGAAAGAUUUAUCGGUAUCGGAUUAGCCCGCGUAAGAUUAGAUAGUUGGUGGGGUAAUGGCCUACCAAGUCUACGAUCUUUAGCUGGUUUUAGAGGAUGAUCAGCAACACUGGGACUGAGACACGGCCCAGACUCCUACGGGAGGCAGCAGUGGGGAAUCUUAGACAAUGGGCGCAAGCUUGAUCUAGCCAUGCCGCGUGAGUGAAGAAGGCCUUAGGGUCGUAAAACUCUUUCGCCAGAGAUGAUAAUGACAGUAUCUGGUAAAGAAACCCCGGCUAACUCCGUGCCAGCAGCCGCGGUAAUACGGAGGGGGUUAGCGUUGUUCGGAAUUACUGGGCGUAAAGCGCACGUAGGCGGACUGGAAAGUUGGGGGUGAAAUCCCGGGGCUCAACCUCGGAACUGCCUCCAAAACUAUCAGUCUAGAGUUCGAGAGAGGUGAGUGGAAUUCCAAGUGUAGAGGUGAAAUUCGUAGAUAUUUGGAGGAACACCAGUGGCGAAGGCGGCUCACUGGCUCGAUACUGACGCUGAGGUGCGAAAGUGUGGGGAGCAAACAGGAUUAGAUACCCUGGUAGUCCACACCGUAAACGAUGAAUGCCAGUCGUCGGCAAGUAUACUUGUCGGUGACACACCUAACGGAUUAAGCAUUCCGCCUGGGGAGUACGGUCGCAAGAUUAAAACUCAAAGGAAUUGACGGGGGCCCGCACAAGCGGUGGAGCAUGUGGUUUAAUUCGAAGC
This 789-nucleotide ribosomal RNA is filed under the name uncultured marine bacterium. Its description in RNAcentral is "bacterial SSU rRNA". It matches the Rfam family "Bacterial small subunit ribosomal RNA", at positions 132 to 957 of the family's 1533-position model. The record is from RNAcentral.